GGUUACGCUAACUUGAAGUGCCAGGGUAAUAUUGAUAGAGAUGGAGAUAAUGGGGAAGUAAAGUCACCAGGUUUCAGGGAUAGCGGACCAAAGAGAGGCAGAUGUCCAGACUCAUAUCUAGGUCUGUCUUGCACAACUAGAUGGGUCAUUAGUGAACCUUGGGAUAGGAUCAGAUUUCAGGAGGAGGAACACGUUUUUAGUUUGGGACAUAUAAGUACUUUUAAGACACUGAACAAGAAUUGUCAAGAUUUGAUUGCAUGGGCCUGGAACUUAGAAAAGCCUGGGUUGCAGAUGUGUAUGGGAGUUAUUUGUGAGUAGAUUUUAAUUAAUAGAUCAUGUGUAUGAAGUGCUCUGUAAACUGUAAAGGGCUACAAAUUGUCUUAAUUUGUGGUGCUGUUUCAAACCCGGUGAUUUUUUUUUUUACCUGUCUUUCGGUAGAUAGUUUAGUCAUUUUUUUUCUACAGAACUGUUCUGACUUUUCCCUCUUUUGAACUACUUCUAUACCUUACAUGUAAUUACUGUGGUAUUUCAGCAGUAUAUUAUGAUUAUGUGUGUGUUUAUGUACAUAUCUGUCUGUCUUUUAUAGUGUGAGGUCAUUUGAAUAAAGUGACUGGGUUUUAUUAUUGUGAAUUGCCUGAGGCUGGGUCUCAUGUAUGUUUUGUUCCCUAUGGUAUAUCUAGCACUUAAUGUGUGGCAUAGCACAUAUCAAAGAUUGUACAUAUUGAGUCAAGUUUUUUUGUUUUUUUUUGUUUGUUUGUUUUUUUGCUUUUUUUUAGGGCUACUCCUGUGGCAUAUGGAAGUACCCAGGCCAGAGUUCAAAUUGGAGUUGGAGCUGCUGGCCUACGCCACAGCCACAGCAAUGCCAGAUCCGAGCCAUGUCUGCAACCUACACCACAGCUCACAUCAAUUGGGUUAAUGAUCCAGCGUUGCCGUGAGCUAUGGUGUAGGUUGCGGACACGGCUCGGAUCCUCCAUUGCUGUGGCUGUGGUGUAGGCCGGCGGCUACAGCUCAGAUUGGACCCCUGGCCUGGGAACCUCCAUAUGCUGUGAGUGCGGCCCUAGAAAAUACAAAAAAAAAAAAGGAAUAAAUGCCACUUAAGGUGUAUAAUCCUUUUAAUAUGCUGUUGAAUUCUAUCUGUGCUCCCAGUUAUUUUGAUUAUUUUCGAAAGGAAUACCAGACAUAGCAGUAAGCUAGUAAACGAAUAAACAAACAAUAUAAUGGCAGAUUUUGAUAAGUAUUAUGAAGAAAAGUGAAACAGGGCAGAAAGAUAAAAAGACUGGCAGGAGUGGAUGAGGCUGCUGCUGUUUAGAUACAGAGGUUUGAGAAACUCUCUGAGGAGGUGAUACUUAAGAACCAGGAAAAAGGUGAGGGAAGAACCUUUCAGGCACAGGGGACAGCAGAGGUAGGAAUUUUCUUAGAGUUCUUGGGAAAUAGCUGGGAAGGAGGGAUUGAGAAUAUGAACAGGAGAUUAAGUCACAGAGGCUGGGGAGGCUUAGGAUAUCCGCAGUAUAGGAGGGCACAUAAAUCGCAUCUCCUGAGCCUUAGUUAAGCACAGACAGUGACAUAUACGGCUUUUACUACUUGUUACAGAUUUCCUCCUUUCUUUUUAUUUCCUUUGUAUUUGCUGUCCUAUUUCUAGAAAGAAUGUGUUUGCUUUGUUAACCAAAGACAGGGGGUUCCCUCCCAGAUUUCCUCUGAAGAAGGGAGGAGUCUCUGGGUCCAGCCAAGAAUCCAUUGUGAUGUCUUAUGUGAUUUG
RNAcentral lists this long non-coding RNA (1756 nucleotides) under Sus scrofa (pig). RNAcentral describes it as "lncRNA (ENSSSCG00015031223.1)". The record is from RNAcentral. Lineage: Eukaryota; Metazoa; Chordata; Mammalia; Artiodactyla; Suidae.